UCUUCUCUUUUGAAAAUUUUGUCCUCUUUUGUCCCUCCUCUCACCCUCAGCCUUCAGGACCUGGGUGCUGUCCAGGUACAAAUUAACAUAUAAAAAGACCUCAAGUUGUUCACACAAGCAGCUCUAUUUAUUACUCUCUCCUUUACAGCCUGAGUCUGCUCAAAAACACACAUUCAAAUUGGAUCGUAUCCACUCUAGCCCUUCAGCACACAGGUAUUGUGGGCCAGAGGCCGCUUUUGGCCGCAAACUCCCUUACUCAUUUAAAAUAACUUCAUUCCUAGGGUUCACUGGACAAUUAGUUGGUCCAUCACAUUCUCUGACAAACGCACUUUGCCUACCUUGUCACUAACCCUCAAGCAGCUCUUUGGGUGAGUGCUACUACCCUUGUUUAGAGGGGAGUGAAACCGGGCUUUACAGCUUAAAGUGACUUGGCGGAGAUCACACAGCCAGUUAAGUGGGUGGCUUGUUGGGAAAUCAAGGCUUAGAGUAACCAAAGGUCACUAACGGUUCUUUUAAAACAUUUUAUUUUCGUUACAUUAGUUUUAAAAUACAGAGUGUCCCAGGCUUGCAAAGAAAAACAGCGUUCAUCUCCCUACCCCGCUGAUCCCCUCUCUCCAACUGUAACUUUUCAGUGCAACCACGUGGAACUUUUUCAGUGGAUUCUGCUAGCUUUCUGACACGUUUCUAGAUUCCCCUUAGAACCGACGCAGUGGGCAGACCUAACUGCGAAGUAGCCCAAGGCCGCUUAGCUCUCGCUGCCCGCUAUGCGUUUAGCUCCAGGUCAUCCUGUCUGCCCAGGUUGAAAGCCUUGUCGGGUCCACUCCUCGCGGGUGCAGGACAGGCCUCCUCUCACGCGGAUCCACACCCGGCACUGUGCUGCGGGCUCCAGCGAGUGGCCGCCGGGACCGGGACCAUGCACCGGGCUGAGCCGCCUGCUUCCCGCCCGCGGGCCUCGCUGCUCGCUGCUCGCUCCUCGAGGGUUACCGACCGCGCUCUGGGCUGAGAUGUAAAGAGGAUCGGAGACCUCAGGAAAAUUUUAUCUUCAUGGAGGGGAGUGGAGUCUUUUUCCCCCUAAGAAUGGUAUCCUCUUAUUGGCCUCUCACCAACUCUGUGCCUUCUCUGCACACACACACACACACACUCAUCCUCCCCCAUUCUCCCCAAACCACCAGAACAACUGCGGUGUAAAACAAGUUUUAAUUUAUAUGAUUAAAGUUUGAAAAUACA
This is a long non-coding RNA of Cavia porcellus (domestic guinea pig), 1227 nucleotides long. RefSeq lists it as uncharacterized. The transcript has 2 exons. Lineage: Eukaryota; Metazoa; Chordata; Mammalia; Rodentia; Caviidae. The record is from RefSeq and is a predicted model, not a curated record.